UCAGGGUAUCACCAGUGUCUCAGUUGACUUCCUGUUGCCUGUAAGAUGUAGGACUCAACAGCUACUUCUCCAGCACCAUGUCUGCCUGCACACAACCAUGUUCCCCAACAUGAUGAUAAUGGACUGAAACUCUGAACUGUCCUUUGUGUAUUAUGGCUUCCAGAUUACUGUUUUUAUGAGAUUCCUGAGUGUGCGAAUGAGAGCAGAGUUGCUUAGGUAUCAGGUGGUGGGCAGCGUAAGAGAAAGGCCUGACCUUUGGUCAUGGUCGAGACAGAGCUGAAAUAGAGGAUCUCACUGUGGCCUGGCCCUCGCUCACUUUGUUGACCAAGCUGACCUUGAAUUUACAGCAAUUCCCUUGCUUCUGGGAUUAGCAGUGCGGGGAUUGGCAGACAUGUAGCAUCACGCCUGUCUGACUGAUCUUGACAAACAUCAAUCCAUGAGAGGUCCGAGUCAGCAAGAGAAAGCUUAAAUACCUGCAGUUCAGGCUGGGGACUCUAUGUGAAUGUAGCAGGUUAACAUAGCUAAGUGAAGACUGCAUAUUUUUGUUUGGUUGUUUUGUUUUGAUACAAGUCUUGGUUAGCCCAGGCAAAUCUGGAAUCUCAGCAUAGUUGAAGAUAACCUUGAACACUGGACUUCCUACCUCCACCUUCAAAG
This is a long non-coding RNA of Peromyscus eremicus (cactus mouse), 654 nucleotides long. RefSeq lists it as uncharacterized. The record is from RefSeq and is a predicted model, not a curated record. The transcript is spliced from 4 exons. Lineage: Eukaryota; Metazoa; Chordata; Mammalia; Rodentia; Cricetidae.